GCCCUGAUAGUAUAAACAUUACACUGGUCUUGUAAAUCAGAAAUGAAAACUUAUUUUCUCAGGGCA
This 66-nucleotide transfer RNA is filed under the name Prometheomys schaposchnikovi (Long-clawed mole vole). RNAcentral's name for it is "tRNA-Thr". The record is from RNAcentral. Lineage: Eukaryota; Metazoa; Chordata; Mammalia; Rodentia; Cricetidae.